RNAcentral lists this ribosomal RNA (305 nucleotides) under uncultured bacterium. RNAcentral's name for it is "partial 16S ribosomal RNA". It matches the Rfam family "Bacterial small subunit ribosomal RNA", at positions 506 to 807 of the family's 1533-position model. The record is from RNAcentral.
ACAGCAGCAGCCACGGUAAUACGAAGGGUGCAAGCGUUACUCGGAAUUACUGGGCGUAAAGCGUGCGUAGGUGGUGGUUUAAGUCCGUUGUGAAAGCCCUGGGCUCAACCUGGGAAUUGCAGUGGAUACUGGGUCACUAGAGUGUGGUAGAGGAUAGUGGAAUUUCCGGUGUAGCAGUGAAAUGCGUAGAGAUCGGAAGGAACAUCUGUGGCGAAGGCGGCCAUCUGGGACAACACUGACGCUGAGGCACGAAAGCGUGGGGAGCAAACAGGAUUAGAUACCCCCGUAGUCCCUGUCUCUUAUAC